GUAAGUUGGGUAGUUAAUUUCGGGAUUCAGUCUUUAAAUAGACAAACAAUAAAAAAAGAUUGUUGAAUUCUGAGGAAGGUCCGCCCACCCUAGCUCGCAAGAGAGUCAUUCUGGGAAACUGGAAUUGUUGUGAGACAAAGCUCUGUUAAAGAAACGACACAGUUCACUUUGAGUUAUGAAACAAGCGUGGAACUUUGAAAAGUGAGAUUUGAUGAAACGAACAUCUUGACUGGUGCAAGGCUUUAAGCUGCAUAGUGAAAUGUUAACACGAACUGUUCUGGCAUUAACUCCUUGAAAAAGGAGGCUCGAAGUUCGACAGAAGGUGGCCUAUUCCCAACUUAC
Molecule: RNase P RNA, 342 nt
Filed under: Nanobdellota archaeon
Lineage: Archaea; Nanobdellati; Nanobdellota
Description: RNase P RNA component
Rfam family: Archaeal RNase P
About the family: Ribonuclease P (RNase P) is a ubiquitous endoribonuclease, found in archaea, bacteria and eukarya as well as chloroplasts and mitochondria. Its best characterised activity is the generation of mature 5'-ends of tRNAs by cleaving the 5'-leader elements of precursor-tRNAs.
Source: RNAcentral